RNAcentral lists this ribosomal RNA (2923 nucleotides) under Staphylococcus aureus. RNAcentral describes it as "23S ribosomal RNA". It matches the Rfam family "Bacterial large subunit ribosomal RNA". Lineage: Bacteria; Bacillati; Bacillota; Bacilli; Caryophanales; Staphylococcaceae. The record is from RNAcentral.
GAUUAAGUUAUUAAGGGCGCACGGUGGAUGCCUUGGCACUAGAAGCCGAUGAAGGACGUUACUAACGACGAUAUGCUUUGGGGAGCUGUAAGUAAGCUUUGAUCCAGAGAUUUCCGAAUGGGGAAACCCAGCAUGAGUUAUGUCAUGUUAUCGAUAUGUGAAUACAUAGCAUAUCAGAAGGCACACCCGGAGAACUGAAACAUCUUAGUACCCGGAGGAAGAGAAAGAAAAUUCGAUUCCCUUAGUAGCGGCGAGCGAAACGGGAAGAGCCCAAACCAACAAGCUUGCUUGUUGGGGUUGUAGGACACUCUAUACGGAGUUACAAAGGACGACAUUAGACGAAUCAUCUGGAAAGAUGAAUCAAAGAAGGUAAUAAUCCUGUAGUCGAAAAUGUUGUCUCUCUUGAGUGGAUCCUGAGUACGACGGAGCACGUGAAAUUCCGUCGGAAUCUGGGAGGACCAUCUCCUAAGGCUAAAUACUCUCUAGUGACCGAUAGUGAACCAGUACCGUGAGGGAAAGGUGAAAAGCACCCCGGAAGGGGAGUGAAAUAGAACCUGAAACCGUGUGCUUACAAGUAGUCAGAGCCCGUUAAUGGGUGAUGGCGUGCCUUUUGUAGAAUGAACCGGCGAGUUACGAUUUGAUGCAAGGUUAAGCAGUAAAUGUGGAGCCGUAGCGAAAGCGAGUCUGAAUAGGGCGUUUAGUAUUUGGUCGUAGACCCGAAACCAGGUGAUCUACCCUUGGUCAGGUUGAAGUUCAGGUAACACUGAAUGGAGGACCGAACCGACUUACGUUGAAAAGUGAGCGGAUGAACUGAGGGUAGCGGAGAAAUUCCAAUCGAACCUGGAGAUAGCUGGUUCUCUCCGAAAUAGCUUUAGGGCUAGCCUCAAGUGAUGAUUAUUGGAGGUAGAGCACUGUUUGGACGAGGGGCCCCUCUCGGGUUACCGAAUUCAGACAAACUCCGAAUGCCAAUUAAUUUAACUUGGGAGUCAGAACAUGGGUGAUAAGGUCCGUGUUCGAAAGGGAAACAGCCCAGACCACCAGCUAAGGUCCCAAAAUAUAUGUUAAGUGGAAAAGGAUGUGGCGUUGCCCAGACAACUAGGAUGUUGGCUUAGAAGCAGCCAUCAUUUAAAGAGUGCGUAAUAGCUCACUAGUCGAGUGACACUGCGCCGAAAAUGUACCGGGGCUAAACAUAUUACCGAAGCUGUGGAUUGUCCUUUGGACAAUGGUAGGAGAGCGUUCUAAGGGCGUUGAAGCAUGAUCGUAAGAACAUGUGGAGCGCUUAGAAGUGAGAAUGCCGGUGUGAGUAGCGAAAGACGGGUGAGAAUCCCGUCCACCGAUUGACUAAGGUUUCCAGAGGAAGGCUCGUCCGCUCUGGGUUAGUCGGGUCCUAAGCUGAGGCCGACAGGCGUAGGCGAUGGAUAACAGGUUGAUAUUCCUGUACCACCUAUAAUCGUUUUAAUCGAUGGGGGGACGCAGUAGGAUAGGCGAAGCGUGCGAUUGGAUUGCACGUCUAAGCAGUAAGGCUGAGUAUUAGGCAAAUCCGGUACUCGUUAAGGCUGAGCUGUGAUGGGGAGAAGACAUUGUGUCUUCGAGUCGUUGAUUUCACACUGCCGAGAAAAGCCUCUAGAUAGAAAAUAGGUGCCCGUACCGCAAACCGACACAGGUAGUCAAGAUGAGAAUUCUAAGGUGAGCGAGCGAACUCUCGUUAAGGAACUCGGCAAAAUGACCCCGUAACUUCGGGAGAAGGGGUGCUCUUUAGGGUUAACGCCCAGAAGAGCCGCAGUGAAUAGGCCCAAGCGACUGUUUAUCAAAAACACAGGUCUCUGCUAAACCGUAAGGUGAUGUAUAGGGGCUGACGCCUGCCCGGUGCUGGAAGGUUAAGAGGAGUGGUUAGCUUCUGCGAAGCUACGAAUCGAAGCCCCAGUAAACGGCGGCCGUAACUAUAACGGUCCUAAGGUAGCGAAAUUCCUUGUCGGGUAAGUUCCGACCCGCACGAAAGGCGUAACGAUUUGGGCACUGUCUCAACGAGAGACUCGGUGAAAUCAUAGUACCUGUGAAGAUGCAGGUUACCCGCGACAGGACGGAAAGACCCCGUGGAGCUUUACUGUAGCCUGAUAUUGAAAUUCGGCACAGCUUGUACAGGAUAGGUAGGAGCCUUUGAAACGUGAGCGCUAGCUUACGUGGAGGCGCUGGUGGGAUACUACCCUAGCUGUGUUGGCUUUCUAACCCGCACCACUUAUCGUGGUGGGAGACAGUGUCAGGCGGGCAGUUUGACUGGGGCGGUCGCCUCCUAAAAGGUAACGGAGGCGCUCAAAGGUUCCCUCAGAAUGGUUGGAAAUCAUUCAUAGAGUGUAAAGGCAUAAGGGAGCUUGACUGCGAGACCUACAAGUCGAGCAGGGUCGAAAGACGGACUUAGUGAUCCGGUGGUUCCGCAUGGAAGGGCCAUCGCUCAACGGAUAAAAGCUACCCCGGGGAUAACAGGCUUAUCUCCCCCAAGAGUUCACAUCGACGGGGAGGUUUGGCACCUCGAUGUCGGCUCAUCGCAUCCUGGGGCUGUAGUCGGUCCCAAGGGUUGGGCUGUUCGCCCAUUAAAGCGGUACGCGAGCUGGGUUCAGAACGUCGUGAGACAGUUCGGUCCCUAUCCGUCGUGGGCGUAGGAAAUUUGAGAGGAGCUGUCCUUAGUACGAGAGGACCGGGAUGGACAUACCUCUGGUGUACCAGUUGUCGUGCCAACGGCAUAGCUGGGUAGCUAUGUGUGGACGGGAUAAGUGCUGAAAGCAUCUAAGCAUGAAGCCCCCCUCAAGAUGAGAUUUCCCAACUUCGGUUAUAAGAUCCCUUAAAGAUGAUGAGGUUAAUAGGUUCGAGGUGGAAGCAUGGUGACAUGUGUAGCUGACGAAUACUAAUCGAUCGAAGACUUAAUCAA